AUGGCUGUUCGCCAUUUAAAGCGGUACGCGAGCUGGGUUCAGAACGUCGUGAGACAGUUUGGCCCCUAUCUGCUGUGAUCGUUGGAGAAUUGAGAAGAUCUGCUCCUAGUACGAGAGGACCGGAGUGGACGAACCACUGGUGUACCGAUUGUUCCUGUCAAGGGCAUUGUCGGGUAGCUACGUUCGGAAUGGAUAACCGCUGAAAGCAUCUAAGCGGGAAGCCAACUUCAAGAUAAAUUUUCCCUAUAGCCUCCUUGGAGAACACAAGGUCGAUAGGUGCUCGGUGUACGCAUAGCGAUAUGUUAAGCCUAGGCAUACUAACAGGCAAUUGCUUUUUUAAU
This 341-nucleotide ribosomal RNA is filed under the name Candidatus Altimarinota bacterium. Its description in RNAcentral is "partial 23S ribosomal RNA". It matches the Rfam family "Bacterial large subunit ribosomal RNA", at positions 2572 to 2925 of the family's 2925-position model. Lineage: Bacteria; Candidatus Altimarinota. The record is from RNAcentral.